Mauremys mutica (yellowpond turtle) is the source of this 351-nucleotide long non-coding RNA. RefSeq lists it as uncharacterized. The record is from RefSeq and is a predicted model, not a curated record. The transcript has 3 exons. Lineage: Eukaryota; Metazoa; Chordata; Testudines; Geoemydidae.
AUGCAGAUAUAAACUUUCAGGACACCAUUAAUGACUUCUUGGAGCAGCUUGUCCUGGAAGCCACAAGAGAAGAGGAAAUUCUUGAUUUAGUUCUAAGUGGAGCACAGAAUCUGGUUCAAGAGAUGUGUGGUUGCCACUCAGACAUUUGACGGCUGACAUAAAUCAUCCCACGAUCAAAGUGUCUGUCGACUUGAGAGUCUGAAUUUGCAGCAGAUGCCUCCACAGAGUGACAAGGAAAUUCUUCAUAAUCAGCAAAGGCACAGCUAGUGUCAGAAGAAACUGUUCUGGGUGAUAACGGUUGGAUUGGCACUGUUGGACAUUGUGUGGGUGAUUGCAUAUGUGAUAUUCAGG